GCUCUCUUUGGGAGCACAUAUACUAAAAUUGAAAUUGACACAAAAGAUUAGUAUGGUCCCUGCACAAGGAUGACAUGCAAAUUCAUGAGGCAUUCCAUAUUUUU
Molecule: small nuclear RNA, 104 nt
Organism: Perognathus longimembris pacificus (Pacific pocket mouse)
Lineage: Eukaryota; Metazoa; Chordata; Mammalia; Rodentia; Heteromyidae
Source: RefSeq, a predicted model, not a curated record